GACAGCAGUCGCCGCGGUAAUACAGAGGGUGCGAGCGUUAAUCGGAUUUACUGGGCGUAAAGCGUGCGUAGGCGGCUUUUUAAGUCGGAUGUGAAAUCCCUGAGCUUAACUUAGGAAUUGCAUUCGAUACUGGGAAGCUAGAGUAUGGGAGAGGAUGGUAGAAUUCCAGGUGUAGCGGUGAAAUGCGUAGAGAUCUGGAGGAAUACCGAUGGCGAAGGCAGCCAUCUGGCCUAAUACUGACGCUGAGGUACGAAAGCAUGGGGAGCAAACAGGAUUAGAUACCCGAGUAGUCCCUGUCUCUUAUAC
Molecule: ribosomal RNA, 306 nt
Filed under: uncultured bacterium
Lineage: Bacteria
Description: partial 16S ribosomal RNA
Rfam family: Bacterial small subunit ribosomal RNA
Source: RNAcentral